Long non-coding RNA from Amphiprion ocellaris (clown anemonefish), 2882 nucleotides. RefSeq lists it as uncharacterized. Lineage: Eukaryota; Metazoa; Chordata; Actinopteri; Pomacentridae. The transcript is spliced from 3 exons. The record is from RefSeq and is a predicted model, not a curated record.
CCGAUCUUAAAAUAAAUCAAUAUUGAUUUUUUUUAUAGAGCAUUAAAGUUUUGCGAAGCCAGGGGGCGGGACUACUUGAUUGACAGUCUGGUCUGGAAUGAUUGACAGGUCCUAUGGAGGAGGCAGCAGAGACUCUGUUCUCCUCCUUUGGAUUAAUUCUGAUAUAAUAACUGUUGGUUUAUUUAUCGGUGGAGCAGCAGAACAUUUUCCACAGACAGUUUUCCUGCCCGUUGGCUUGUUUUAACCAGUUUUCUACCUUCGGCUGAUUCUAUCAACAGACACUGAAAGGACUCUGAUAGUUCGAGUGAAAGCAGCAACUCCUUAAGGUCAGAGAUUGCAGCAUCUGAGGGCCUCUUCAAAAGAAGAUGUAGUUGAUGAAGGCGUUCUGGAGCAGGACCAGAAAGACCACGACCAAGCAGCCUUGAGAUCUUAGGCAGCAUCUCCCUGAGACCAAAGAACUACAGACUCUUCACAACCUGCUCAAACUCUUGGUACAGGACCUCACCACACGGGUCAAGAAGGUUUCCAUCUCAUUUCUACUCUGAAGCUCACCUUCUCCUGCUCAAACUGCUGACAAAUGUUUCUGCUGCUCUAAAGUCUGGUCUCCAGAACUUCCUAAAAACUCUCAAAGUCUCUUCUGCUGCAGGUUGCUUUGUAGAACUGUUCCAGAAAACCUCACUAAACCACAUGGAGGGGCCUCAAGAUAGUCGUCCAAAUGAAACCAUACAAAAACCAAACUAGCACAACCCAAACGCUAAAGUCUCCUGCAGCCUACCAGAGAAGCUCUGAGAACAGAGAAUCAGGACAGGAACUCUUACCUUCUGGACAACCAAUGCUGGUUCACAAACAAGAAUACAGAAUGUGUCUGACCAAAAACCUCUGAAGACUCACUACAGCCAAGAUAAAGACACAACUCAGCUGCACCAAAUCCACUAAUCACUGCACACAUAAGAACCAUGUGGUAACUGUGGCUAAAGAACCACAUUUACCAAGACAACUAUCCAGUACAAAGCCCUAAAACACACCAAGAAACACAUUAAAGACAAUUUUACUGCUGGAAGCUGCAAGCCAACGCCUAAAAAACAAACUAAAGCAAUGGAGCCAAACCCGGUUCACUGGUGGAGAGAAGCAGAGGAAAUGUUUGUCUGCAGCUAAAUAAAGCAGGAAGACACUGAGCUGCUCAGGUGUUCCUGAUAACACCUAGCAGCCACCUGGACAGCCAAUAAGAACACAGCUUCCUGGAAGUCCAGAGGGCUGGGUUAGUGAAGGAAAUUUAGUUUAAUAUAGUUGAGGCAGAAAGUUAACAAAGAAAGUUGAAAACCACCUUCUGAUACCCGAAAUCUUUGUUUUCACACAAAGAACGCCUGAACAUGUUAAACUGGUUUCAUAGUAGAACCAUCAUUGUAAAAACGUCAUAGUAUGGUGUGUUGCUCAAAAAACAUUACGACCCGGCUGUCUGGGGUCGCCGAGGAGCAACACAAAAACAGGACAAAUGCUGGUUUCCAGGGGGUUAGGCAGCUAUUUAUUUGAAAGAGUAUGUUUACAACAACACAUGUGAGCAGAAAAAUCACAGUCUGUCUUUCGUUCAGCUGAAAAUAUUAGUUUUUGUCUUUUUUUAUUGACCAAACUUUUCAGGAAGUAGAUGAAGAAUAAUUAAAGCUCUCAUGUAGAAGUCCAACUUAUUUUGGAUCCUUGUGGAGAGUUUAAUCUUAGAGUUUGUACAGCUGUUGAGUUUUUAGAGUCACAUGGAUUGUUUUGACAUUUAAUAACUGAUUCCUAAAAUAAAAUUACAGUUGUGGAUUUCUGUCAUUUAGUCUGGACUAAACAAAUAACAGCAGCAUAAAUCUCAAACAUCAUUAUGAGGAGUCUGGAUUGAGGUUUCUCACUUGAUAAUGAUCAAAACAUGAAAUUUAGGUUGGUUUAAAGGAAUAUUGCACCUUAAAUCUUUGAAUGUUGACCUAAAAGGAAGUAUUCCACCUACAAGGUCCUCAAACAUCCACCUUAAAGGAACAUUCCACCAAAAACCCUUGGACAUGCACCUAAAACGUUGGUUUAACCGAGUAUUCCAUCCAAAAUCCUCAAAGAGACCUGAGGGGCUGGUUAAAAGGAAUAUUCCACCUAAAACCUUGAAUAUAGACCUGAAAGGGUGGUUUAGAAAAAAUCCUUCAGUGUAGACCAAAAAAGUUAGUAUGGAGGAAUAUUCCACCUGAAAUGUAGACCUGAGAAGUUGGUUCGGAAGAAUAUACCAUCCUAAACAUCCUUAAAUGUAGACUAAAAGACAGUUUGGAAGAGAAUUCCACCUAAAAUCCUCCAAUGUAGACCUAAAAGGUAAGUUUAAUGGUAUAUUCCACCUAAAAUUCACUACUGUAGACCUUGGAGGUUGGUCUGAUGGUAUAUUCCACCCAACAUCCUUGAACAUAAACUUAAAAAGUUCGUUCAAAGGAAUAUUUCACCUAAAAUCUUUCAAUGCAGACCAAAAAAUCUUGGUGUAAAGGAGUAUUCCACCUUAAAUGUAGACCUAAAGGAUGGUUUGGAGUAAUAUUCUACUCUAAAAUCUUCCAAUGUAGACCUAAAAGGUUGAUCUGAUGGUAUAUUCUACUCAACAUCCUGGAACGUUUACCUAAAAGGUUGGUUUAAUGGUAUAUUCCCAGAAGAACCCUUGAACAUCAGGCUUAAUGGUAUAUUCCACCCAAAAUACUUGUACAUAUACCAAGAAGUCAGUGUAAAGGAAAUGUAGACCUAAAAGGAUUGUUUAAAGGAAUAUUUAAACGAUUAUUUUCAUUAUUUAAUAAUCUGUUAUCAGUCAGAACCCUGGCAAACUUAUUUUCAUCAGUUUUUUUUAGUGGAAGUCACAAAUAAAGGAGCUCUUGGUUUUUCCUGGC